This 97-nucleotide transfer RNA is filed under the name Candidatus Aenigmatarchaeota archaeon. Its description in RNAcentral is "tRNA-Pro". It matches the Rfam family "tRNA". From Rfam's summary of the family: Transfer RNA (tRNA) molecules are approximately 80 nucleotides in length. Their secondary structure includes four short double-helical elements and three loops (D, anti-codon, and T loops). Further hydrogen bonds mediate the characteristic L-shaped molecular structure. tRNAs have two regions of fundamental functional importance: the anti-codon, which is responsible for specific mRNA codon recognition, and the 3' end, to which the tRNAs corresponding amino acid is attached (by aminoacyl-tRNA synthetases). tRNAs cope with the degeneracy of the genetic code in two manners: having more than one tRNA (with a specific anti-codon) for a particular amino acid; and 'wobble' base-pairing, i.e. permitting non-standard base-pairing at the 3rd anti-codon position. The record is from RNAcentral. Lineage: Archaea; Nanobdellati; Candidatus Aenigmatarchaeota.
GGGCUCGUAGUCUAGCUUGGUUAAAGACAGAAAAAUCUUCCAGAAAGGAUCCGUGCUUAGGGAGCAUGAGACCCCGGUUCGAAUCCGGGCGAGCCCA